UAGGGAAUCUUCGGCAAUGGGGGGAACCCUGACCGAGCAACGCCGCGUGAGUGAAGAAGGUUUUCGGAUCGUAAAGCUCUGUUGUUAAGGAAGAACGAGUGUGAGAAUGGAAAGUUCAUGCUGUGACGGUACUUAACCAGAAAGGGACGGCUAACUACGUGCCAGCAGCCGCGGUAAUACGUAGGUCCCGAGCGUUGUCCGGAUUUAUUGGGCGUAAAGCGAGCGCAGGCGGUUAGAAAAGUCUGAAGUGAAAGGCAGUGGCUCAACCAUUGUAGGCUUUGGAAACUGUUUAACUUGAGUGCAGAAGGGGAGAGUGGAAUUCCAUGUGAGCGGUGAAAUGCGUAGAUAUAUGGAGGAACACCGGUGGCGAAAGCGACUCUCUGGUCUGUAACUGACGCUGAGGCUCGAAAGCGUGGGGAGCGAACAGG
Molecule: ribosomal RNA, 428 nt
Filed under: Bacteroidota bacterium
Lineage: Bacteria; Pseudomonadati; Bacteroidota
Description: Bacteroidetes bacterium partial 16S ribosomal RNA
Rfam family: Bacterial small subunit ribosomal RNA
Source: RNAcentral